UGACCUGAAAAUGAGUGAGGGGAUGCUACUCAGCUUGCCCUUGAGAAAGGAUCACCGCAAGUGUCUACUGAUGAUGGUUCGAGUAGUCCUGCAACUGUGCACAAGUUGAAAGUUGACACAGAAGAUGCUGGAAGCAAAAUUGAAUCACCCACUCCAGAGAAGCUUGAAUCUAGAAGCAAAUGGAUUGUUGUGAGUUCGUUGGCAAGGAAUUUACUUGCAGAGAGGUACAAAGAUAGAUUUGCAAAUCAGUUCCUGGAAGAUGAGGGUGACAUAGAUGAUGAAGACUAUAAUGACAGUAUUUGGCCCAAAUGAAGUAUUUGUUUCCAGAAGCAAUCCAGUUUAAGAGGGUACUUCUACAUGACGAGAAAAGCCUAUGCAUGUAUGCUGAUAUGGAAAUCAUACUUGUAAUGGAUGUUGUGGAAUACACAAGUCCUGAUCACUCUCCAUCCAUGGCAAUUUGCGAUGCUUUUUACUCGAAGCUUUUGACAUUUUUGGAUGCUCAUCAUAAGGUCCCAGCCAAAGAGCAAGUUGAUGCACUAUUAAAGGAAUUGUUUGCACUUUCAACUGUCACGGGUAUUUUGAGCACACUGCUGGCUACUUGUGUUAUUGUUGACCAAUAAAAUCUAUAAUUUAUCUGAACAAAUUGAUGCAAUUGUCUCCCUGUUCUAAAAUUCAAUGGUAGUCACAGAUCUUAGAGAGCUCUAUAUGUUUCUGUUAGUAUGAUUGUGUUAAGUUUAUAUGUUCUAUCUUGCCAGUUUGCUCUCUAGCAGCUGAUAAUUAAUAUGGUUGCAGUUGCAGCUCAUGUCUAUAGACAAUAGAUGAUAUCCCAGUAGAUGCA
This is a long non-coding RNA of Zea mays, 838 nucleotides long. RefSeq lists it as uncharacterized. The record is from RefSeq and is a predicted model, not a curated record. The transcript is spliced from 2 exons. NCBI's taxonomy places the organism in Eukaryota, Viridiplantae, Streptophyta, Magnoliopsida, Poales, Poaceae.